UGUUAAGUCAUACCACUCUGAAUAUACCUGAACAUGAAAACCUAGCAGGGUUAGGCCUUGUUAGUCCUUGGAUGGGAGACUCCCAGGGAGUACUAGGGAUCUUCAGAC
Molecule: ribosomal RNA, 108 nt
Filed under: Pogona vitticeps (central bearded dragon)
Lineage: Eukaryota; Metazoa; Chordata; Lepidosauria; Squamata; Agamidae
Source: RNAcentral